Molecule: ribosomal RNA, 548 nt
Filed under: uncultured bacterium
Lineage: Bacteria
Description: bacterial SSU rRNA
Rfam family: Bacterial small subunit ribosomal RNA
Source: RNAcentral
UAGGGAAUCUUCGGCAAUGGACGGAAGUCUGACCGAGCAACGCCGCGUGAGUGAAGAAGGUUUUCGGGUCGUAAAGCUCUGUUGUAAGAGAAGAACGAGUGUGAGAGUGGAAAGUUCACACUGUGACGGUAUCUUACCAGAAAGGGACGGCUAACUACGUGCCAGCAGCCGCGGUAAUACGUAGGUCCCGAGCGUUGUCCGGAUUUAUUGGGCGUAAAGCGAGCGCAGGCGGUUAGAUAAGUCUGAAGUUAAAGGCUGUGGCUUAACCGUAGUAGGCUUUGGAAACUGUUUAACUUGAGUGCAAGAGGGGAGAGUGGAAUUCCAUGUGUAGCGGUGAAAUGCGUAGAUAUAUGGAGGAACACCGGUGGCGAAAGCGGCUCUCUGGCUUGUAACUGACGCUGAGGCUCGAAAGCGUGGGGAGCAAACAGGAUUAGAUACCCUGGUAGUCCACGCCGUAACGAUGAGUGCUAGGUGUUAGACCCUUUCCGGGGUUUAGUGCCGCAGCUAACGCAUUAAGCACUCCGCCUGGGGAGUACGACCGCAAGGUU